AAUGGAUAAGACCUGGUCUUAGUGUAUACGAGUUUUUUUGAAAUGAAAGAAAAAGGAGCAAUAAACUCUUUCUUGUUCUAUCAAGAGGGUGACAUUGCUCCUUUUUCUUUUUUAUUGCUAAUAUAGCAAUAGUAGUAUUUGACUUACUUAGUUUCUUUAAACAAAAUGAAAUAAAGGUCGUUUUCUUUUUCUUGGUUGAUUCGUGAGUGAGUAUCAUACUUUUUCCGUAUUCAUAAUUAAUUAAUUAAUCUAUAAUUUGGUUAUCUCCUUCCUGAUUCUUWGGAAAGUCUUUUCUUUUAUCUUUUAUUUAAUUUUAAUAUUAAUUUUAUAUUAAAAAAUGAAUUAUAUAUUAUAUUAAAUUAUAUUAAUCAAUUAAUAAUAAAUUUAAAAAUAUAUUAUAUUAAAAAAAUAGUAUAAUUUGGUUUUA
Molecule: unclassified non-coding RNA, 427 nt
Filed under: Trachymene incisa
Lineage: Eukaryota; Viridiplantae; Streptophyta; Magnoliopsida; Apiales; Araliaceae
Description: partial miscellaneous RNA
Source: RNAcentral